Molecule: unclassified non-coding RNA, 376 nt
Filed under: uncultured Flavobacteriaceae bacterium
Lineage: Bacteria; Pseudomonadati; Bacteroidota; Flavobacteriia; Flavobacteriales; Flavobacteriaceae
Description: contains 16S-23S intergenic spacer region
Source: RNAcentral
UCGCGGUUUGCACCGGCAGUCUGGCUAGAGUUCCCACCUUUACGUGCUGGCAACUAACCACAGGGGUUGCGCUCGUUAUAGGACUUAACCUGACACCUCACGGCACGAGCUGACGACAACCAUGCAGCACCUUGCAAUCUGCCCGAAGGAAAGGGUGUUUCCACCCCUGUCAGACUGCAUUUAAGCCCUGGUAAGGUUCCUCGCGUAUCAUCGAAUUAAACCACAUGCUCCACCGCUUGUGCGGGCCCCCGUCAAUUCCUUUGAGUUUCAUUCUUGCGAACGUACUCCCCAGGUGGGUUACUUAUCACUUUCGCUUAACCACUCAGCCCUCAAUCGGGCCGAACAGCUAGUAACCAUCGUUUACGGCGUAGACUAC